Molecule: ribosomal RNA, 279 nt
Filed under: uncultured bacterium
Lineage: Bacteria
Description: partial 16S ribosomal RNA
Rfam family: Bacterial small subunit ribosomal RNA
Source: RNAcentral
UGCCAGCCGCCGCGGUAAUACGGAGGGGGCUAGCGUUAUUCGGAAUCACUGGGCGUAAAGCGCGCGUAGGCGGUAGUGUAAGUCAGAUGUGAAAGCCCGGGGCUCAACCCUGGAACUGCAUUUGAAACUGCACAACUAGAGUCCGGCAGGGGGUAGCGGAAUUCCAAGUGUAGCGGUGAAAUGCGUAGAUAUUUGGAGGAACACCAAAGGCGAAGGCAGCUAUCUGGACCGGUACUGACGCUAAGGCGCGAAAGCGUGGGGAGCAAACAGGAUUAGAUA